This 474-nucleotide ribosomal RNA is filed under the name uncultured organism. RNAcentral's name for it is "partial 16S ribosomal RNA". It matches the Rfam family "Bacterial small subunit ribosomal RNA", at positions 330 to 796 of the family's 1533-position model. The record is from RNAcentral.
CGUACACUCCUGCGGGAGGCAGCAGUGGGGAAUAUUGCACAAUGGGCGCAAGCCUGAUGCAGCCAUGCCGCGUGUAUGAAGAAGGCCUUCGGGUUGUAAAGUACUUUCAGCGGGGAGGAAGGCGAUAAGGUUAAUAACCUUGUUGAUUGACGUUACCCGCAGAAGAAGCACCGGCUAACUCCGUGCCAGCAGCCGCGGUAAUACGGAGGGUGCAAGCGUUAAUCGGAAUUACUGGGCGUAAAGCGCACGCAGGCGGUCUGUCAAGUCGGAUGUGAAAUCCCCGGGCUCAACCUGGGAACUGCAUUCGAAACUGGCAGGCUAGAGUCUUGUAGAGGGGGGUAGAAUUCCAGGUGUAGCGGUGAAAUGCGUAGAGAUCUGGAGGAAUACCGGUGGCGAAGGCGGCCCCCUGGACAAAGACUGACGCUCAGGUGCGAAAGCGUGGGGAGCAAACAGGAUUAGAAACCCGUGUAGUCC